This is a long non-coding RNA of Cucumis sativus (cucumber), 426 nucleotides long. RefSeq lists it as uncharacterized. Lineage: Eukaryota; Viridiplantae; Streptophyta; Magnoliopsida; Cucurbitales; Cucurbitaceae. The transcript is spliced from 3 exons. The record is from RefSeq and is a predicted model, not a curated record.
UCUACUCUUUCCCUAUCAGUUUUUCUUUUCUUUCUCUCCAAGUUAGUUUCUAAUUUUGUUCUCUUCUCAAUCUGUGACCCUAGAUCGCGAACGGCAACCAAUCUUCAUCGUGCUUCCGCCGCAAAAAUCCUUGGGUUUCUUCAUUUGAUUGUUAACUUGUGACUGCUAGCACUUUUGGGUUGCCAUUUCAAUUGUCUUCUUUGUUGCUGCUACAUUAUUUACUCUACUGAAACUUUGUGAUUUAAUCUUCCCCAGGUUGUAAAGUAUAUUUUGGUCUUAGAUAGCCAGCCAAGCUAAGCUAAGUAGAUGGAAGCAAUUGUUGAAGUUGAAGAUUGUGAAAGCGUUUAAGAUUUCUUAUUUAAGUCUUGUAUUAGGAUCUAGUUUCAUGUAUUAUUAUAGAAUGUAUAUACAAACGCAAUAUUAAGA